UACAGAGGGUGCGAGCGUUGUUCGGAAUUACUGGGCUUAAAGCGCACGUAGGCGGCAUCGUAAGUGUCCGGUGAAAUCCCACGGCUCACCCGUGGAACUGCCUGGCAGACUGCGAUGCUCGAGUGUGGUAGGGGAGAGCGGAACUCCUGGUGGAGCGGUGAAAUGCGUAGAUAUCAGGAGGAACACCGGUGGCGAAGGCGGCUCUCUGGUCCACAACUGACGCUGAGGUGCGAAAGCUAGGGGAGCAAACGGG
RNAcentral lists this ribosomal RNA (253 nucleotides) under uncultured bacterium. RNAcentral's name for it is "partial 16S ribosomal RNA". It matches the Rfam family "Bacterial small subunit ribosomal RNA", at positions 524 to 776 of the family's 1533-position model. The record is from RNAcentral.